RNAcentral lists this ribosomal RNA (189 nucleotides) under uncultured Bdellovibrio sp. Its description in RNAcentral is "partial 16S ribosomal RNA". It matches the Rfam family "Bacterial small subunit ribosomal RNA", at positions 519 to 707 of the family's 1533-position model. Lineage: Bacteria; Pseudomonadati; Bdellovibrionota; Bdellovibrionia; Bdellovibrionales; Pseudobdellovibrionaceae. The record is from RNAcentral.
GGUAAGACGAGGGAUCCUAGCGUUGUUCGGAAUUAUUGGGCGUAAAGCGGGUGUAGGUGGCUAUGUAAGUCAAGUGUGAAAGCCUGGGGNUCAACCCCAGAAGUGCAUUUGAUACUGCGUAGNUNGNGUGCUAGAGAGGAUAGUAGAAUUGUUGGUGUAGUGGUGAAAUACGUAGAUAUCNACAGGNAU